Molecule: ribosomal RNA, 381 nt
Filed under: uncultured archaeon
Lineage: Archaea
Description: bacterial SSU rRNA
Rfam family: Archaeal small subunit ribosomal RNA
Source: RNAcentral
UAAUACUAGCGGUCCAAGUCGCAGCCAUUUUUAUUGGGUCUAAAACAUCCGUAGCUUGCUUGAUAAGUCUCCUGUGAAAUUUUGUCUCUUAAGGGCAAAGCGCGCAGGGGGUACUACCGAGCUAGAGACCGGAAGACGUAAGAAGUAUGUUCGAAGUAGCGGUAAAAUGUGUUAAUCUCGGACAGACUCACAAUAGCGAAGGCAUCUUACGAGGACGGUUCUGACAGUAAGGGAUGAAGGCUAGGGGCGCAAAACGGAUUAGAUACCCGUGUAGUCCUAGCAGUAAACACUGCACACUAAACAUCAGUUCCUCCUCGAGAGGCAUUGGUGCUGAAGGGAAGCCGAAGAGUGUGCUACCUGGGAAGUAUAGUCGCAAGGCCG